This 422-nucleotide ribosomal RNA is filed under the name uncultured bacterium. RNAcentral's name for it is "bacterial SSU rRNA". It matches the Rfam family "Bacterial small subunit ribosomal RNA", at positions 362 to 776 of the family's 1533-position model. The record is from RNAcentral.
UCUUCGGCAAUGGACGAAAGUCUGACCGAGCAACGCCGUGUGAGUGAAGAAGGUUUUCGGAUCGUAAAACUCUGUUGUUAGAGAAGAAUGUUGAUUAGAGUGGAAAAUUAAUCAAGUGACGGUAUCUAACCAGAAAGGGACGGCUAACUACGUUCCAGCAGCCGCGGUAAUACGUAGGUCCUGAGCGUUGUCCGGAUUUAUUGGGCGUAAAGCGAGCGCAGGUGGUUUAAUAAGUCUGAUGUAAAAGGCAGUGGCUUAACCAUUGUGUGAAUUGGAAACUGUUAGACUUGAGUGCAGUAGAGGAGAGUGGAAAUCCAUGUGUAGCGGUGAAAUGCGUAGAUAUAUGGAGGAACACCGGUGGCGACAGCGGCUCUCUGGACUGUCACUGACACUGAGGCUCGAAAGCGUGGGUAGCAAACAGG